CCGGCGCACGGGUGGGUAACACGUAUCCAACCUGCCGUCUACUCUUGGACAGCCUUCUGGAAGGAAGAUUAAUACAAGAUGGCAUCAUGAGUUCACAUGUUCACAUGAUUAAAGGUAUUCCGGUAGACGAUGGGGAUGCGUUCCAUUAGAUAGUAGGCGGGGUAACGGCCCACCUAGUCUUCGAUGGAUAGGGGUUCUGAGAGGAAGGUCCCCCACAUUGGAACUGAGACACGGUCCAA
Molecule: ribosomal RNA, 239 nt
Filed under: uncultured bacterium
Lineage: Bacteria
Description: partial 16S ribosomal RNA
Rfam family: Bacterial small subunit ribosomal RNA
Source: RNAcentral